This is a non-coding RNA of Stegodyphus mimosarum, 73 nucleotides long. The record is from Rfam. NCBI's taxonomy places the organism in Eukaryota, Metazoa, Arthropoda, Arachnida, Araneae, Eresidae.
GCCUUCGAGGUACAAUGGUCAGCACACUCAGCGCGUAUUCGAGAGGUCAGAGGUUCGAGUCCCCGCGAGGGCA